CUACUACUCCCUCGUCCGGAAUUACUUGUCACAAAAAUAGAUAAAAAUAAAUGUAUCUAGAACUAAAAUACAUCUAGAUACAUUCAUUCCUAUGACAAAUAUUUCCGCACGGAGGGAGUAUAUU
Hordeum vulgare subsp. vulgare (domesticated barley) is the source of this 124-nucleotide non-coding RNA. The record is from Rfam. NCBI's taxonomy places the organism in Eukaryota, Viridiplantae, Streptophyta, Magnoliopsida, Poales, Poaceae.